This is a long non-coding RNA of Salvia miltiorrhiza (redroot sage), 8947 nucleotides long. RefSeq lists it as uncharacterized. The record is from RefSeq and is a predicted model, not a curated record. The transcript has 3 exons. NCBI's taxonomy places the organism in Eukaryota, Viridiplantae, Streptophyta, Magnoliopsida, Lamiales, Lamiaceae.
AUUUUCACUACAGUAUAUAUAUUAUUUUCUAUUAUCUAAAAGAAGAAAGAGAAGUAGAAUCACUGAGAUGAGAUGAGAUAUUAUUAUAAUACCUUGAGCUUUUAAUUCAAUGAUUGCAUAAUUUGAAUAAUUAAGUAUUCUUGCUUUCUUUAUUAUUUUCAUUCUUGGAAGCGAGUUUAUAAUUCCUAGUUAAAGGGAUUAUUUUAUUAUUUUUCAGAGAUGAGAUUGGUGAUAAAUACGAAAUAUUAUUAGUCGACUUAUUGCUCGGCUAAUUGAAGUGACGGAUGUUAUUUAAUUAUUUAUCUAUGAGCUUUUUUUUUUUUUAAUAGUGAUAGUUUGAGGAAAUUUAGUAUAUGUAUAUAGAAUUGUAUUAUAUUUCAUUGGGUGUAUAAUAAUUUAUUAAUUUAGAUAGCUAUCAAAUACUACUUGAGCUUGGAGCACAAGUUUCGUGAGUCAUAUUAGUGUAGAGAAUUGCUUUUCUAAUUUAUUCUUAUUUUUAUUUGAUCUAAUUUUGAGGGCCACAAAAUAAGGCUUAUAGGAAAAGCCAAGUUUUCCUCUUAUUAUUUAUUUCUUCUACAAACCUCAAAUGGGCCGAUCAGUAAGGGAAAUGAGGUUUGAAUUAUAUUGCUCAUUUCUAUAAUUGGAUUUAAAUUUUUAAUGUUUGAGAUAAGCAUUUAUUUAUUGUAAAGUGUAUAUAUUAGUUUGAGGAGAUUCAUUUCCUUUUCUUCUCCCCAAAACAGUCGACCUUCUCCCCUCUCUCUUUAUGGAACCUCAGUUUGAGUUUACUUUCAACCUUCAAGAAGAUUCAGCCGCCGCCUCUGCUCCGACCGUCGUCGGCUGCCGUCGGGUCCAAGUCCGGCGUCUCGUCUGUUCUUCCCUGGUGCCCCUCGCACUACUCUCAUCUUCUCUCAAUUUAGCGAAGAACCCAAAUGAGAAGCCCUAAUUUCAAAAUCCGAAAUCGCCGUCACCCGAGCCCGAAAUUCGGCAAUACAGCAGCCUCCUCUUCAACGUGGUCGAAGUUCUCGCACCGGAAGUCCUCGCCGUUCCCCCUUCUUUUUCGAUGUGGAGCCCUAAUUAUUAGAAGAAGGAAAUUACUACUGUCGCGACUGGAAGGCCAACGAACGGCUGAGCUUCGCCCAUCUCUGCCUUGAAUCCAUGCUCGAGAAUGAGAGAAAGGGAAACGAGCUCUAAUUCUUUUCUACUCCCGCCGUCAUGGUUCGGCUGCCACCUCCGCCGUCUGUGGAAGACCGGCGAUUCAGCGGCGCCGCUCCAUUCACGACGCCGCUACUGCUGCUACACGAUCCCCUCCGAGGCAGGAAGCGCUGCUGUCAUCAUCGUCGUCUUGGCUCGACUGAACAGGGUAGCGUCCCUCGUCGUCGAAAAGUUAAGUAUUCUACUUGUUAUUGUAGAAAGUGUUUGAUGUUGCUUGUGAUUUCUGAGUUCAUGCCAUAAUAAUCGAGGCAUAGGUGACUUCUCUCUAAGAUUCCUAAAGUGAGAUAUUAAACAAAAUGUUAUAUGUUUCUAAGUUAGUAAUUACUUUAAAUUAAGUAAAAUGAUGGCAGGAAUCAUAGCUUCAGCCCAAAGCUUCGAUUUUUGACCCUCCCUCAAGAACCCCAGAAUUUCAUCUUCUUUAUAUUUGUAUCAAUUGACUAUGUAUACAUGUCUAUAUGUAUGUGAAGAAUUGAUUGGGAUUUUAUUUGGGUAUUUAUUCACAAGAAAACAUGAUUCCCUAAUAGUUUAGUUUAAGUGGAUUUGGGAGUUCUUGGAAUAAGCUAGCUACAUGUUUGAUGCUUGUGUAAUUGUACUCCUUGAAUUGUAAAAUGAGAUUAUAUGACAAUAGUUGGAGGAUAUCAAGCAUGCUACUAUAUGUUGAUGUGUUGAACAUGAAUUACGUUUAAGCUAAAGCAUGCUAAUGUGUAGUAAGAUGAUGUAUUUGAGUUACUAUAGCUUUUAUUUGAUAAAAAUAUGAGUUAUAUGUUGAGUUGAGAUGAAGAAGGUAUUGCUGUUGGUUUUGCUGUACAGGACAGUACCUUGUAAGGUAUUUUCGGGAGUGUUCCUGUGUUCGAAAUGAUUUGAAAUUUUUACAGUAAUUACUUCAUUAUGAGUAUUAGAUCUCUGCAAAAUUUCAGCUAAAUCCGAGACCAAUAGACAUGUCAAACUAUUUUCUGAAAUGUACUGCACGGAGCAGCAGAGUUCAGUGCAGAUUCUGUCUUUGGUCAUAUAACUUCUUAUCCACUUGAGAUUUUGUGUUUUUGUAAAUUUCUGAGAAAUAUAGACAUCAAUAGCUUUCUAAAAAGGUAAAACUCGUAUUUUUCCUUGAAGCGAUUGAUUUUAUAUGAUUUUCCAAAGUUAGGAUUCAAAUGUGUAUGUGUCUUGAUUAAACUUGUGAUUGGUAGUUAAUUGAGAUCCUACACUACUAAACUUGAAUUAAGGUUUUAUUGUUCUAAUUACCUAUUGAGAAUUAUUGAUUACUAAGCUUGUUAAUAUGAUAGUUGAUGGACAUAAUUAUGUUUAUAUGAUUAAUUACUUUGGGAUUUUGUGUUUUACAUGUAUGGUUAGUUGUAAACUGAUCUCUAUGGAAUGGAUUUGUUUACUUCUAAACUUUCUCUAGUAGAGGAAUUCCUAUAAGAUAGGAAUACUAGUUUAUACUUUCUUAAAGUUCAUAAGAGUUAGUAUAUUGGUUAGUUUAGUUGAUUCAACCUUAGCUUUGCAAAAGAUUAAAAGUUUAUUGGGAUGUUAUUUAUAGCUAAUUCUUCUUAUCUAGUUAUCCAAUCUUAUUUUAGAAUCUUGCUAUUAUGAAGGUGACAGUAGCAAUGAUAGAUAAGUGAGCAAGAGUUCCUACACCGUUAAGCGUAUCAGGUUAAGCUGUGAUGCAGAUGGAGGCGAGCAGAGCAAAACUUUUGAAGUAUAAGUAUUAAAUUAGGCUCAGGAUUCCAUGUCUUCAUACAUGUAAUCCACUUAAGUAUUUCCGCUGCAACACUUAGUGUAUUUUACUUUAUUGAUGUGUUGUACAGAUUUUAAACCAAUAGCUUCGAAAAUUAUGUCACUUGAAAAUUUGACAACUUGUCGUUAUGUAUUGUGAGUUGUCUGCUUUGAGUUUUAGAAAAGAUUGUUUAUGAUUACCAAAUAUUUAGGUAAAUUAUUGUUUAAGCAAGAUGAUUAUUUUUAUUGAAACCUCUUUUAUUUUCCAUUUUCUUUUUCCAUUUCCCCAGUCACAUUUUCCCCGGCUUAACUGUUGUUAGCUUAGGUCGGGCUGUGACAGAGUGGUAUCAGAGCGAGGUUGUUUGCUCUGAGCCUAAAUAUUCCUUUGAGUCUAGUCUAAAUUUGAAUCUUUGGACUAGUGUGAGUAAUAUAGUAAAAGCUCUGCUCUCCAUCUCAUCCAACUUAGCCAGGUACGGAUUUUCAGAGUUUUGAAGUAGCAUGUUACAUUUUUAAACAAGUUUGAGAUAUGAGUUGCAGUUUUGCAAGUAUUAGUAUGAUGGAAACUUAUAUAUUUUAAAAUGAGCAUGGACAACAUGAGUUAUUUAUGAGUAUCCUCUGCCUAUACGAACUUUUGAGAUUUGAAUGGAUAAAAGUGUUAUUCAUAUUUUAAUAUUUGUGUUUUGAUAUGUGGAUGGAGAUAUAGAAAGUUUGAUGAUACAAUAAUGACGUAUAUCAGUCGCGAUGUAACCUAGUACUAGUAGUGAUGUUAUACAGUUACGGCACCACAAUUAAUACUAAGAGCUUUUUGCAACAUAUAUUCCUAUCUUUCGUAUGAGAACUCAUUGAGGCAAAUUUUCUCAUGAUAUGAAGUGAUCAAAGUGGUCAUUUACUAGGUUAUUAUUGAGAUUUACUUGCGUUUUAUGACUUGAAUUUUGGUGUAUGAGUUUUAUAACUUAGUUUGAUUCUAGUUAAGUAGGAGUUUGACUUUAUUGAUGGGGUGAAAACUCAAUUUUGGAGAUUUUGUGUAUUUACUCGGCAUGAUGUCUCAAAAGAAGAAGUGGAAACCUGCCAUCCACCAGAUGAACAAUUUAGAGAAUUUACUCCUCCCCCCUCAUCUGGAAAGAAGAAUUGCAGAAAGUUUUUCAUCGUCAAAAUUCCCCUAUUUAUAGUAGAGUUUCGCGAGUUUCGCUUCCUGUGAUGCAAUGAUCAAGAGCACCUUCUUGUAUGUUAUUUCAACAAGGAUCGACUGGUUAUUAGUGGGAGACGAAGCAGAAGAUAUAUACCCUCGAGCGAUUAGAGAGUCUUAUUUGGGGUCAGAUCAUAGAAGCUUUUACCAAGAAUAUAUUUCCAGAAGCCGUCGUCAGCAAAAGGAGACGUAAUUUAACAAUUUAAAGCAAUAGAAGAAGACAGUAGCUGAAUGUGAUCAAGGGUUUUGUGAUAUAGCUGGAUAUAUGCCUUAUAAGGCUGACACAUAUAUUAGUUGUAACUUUUGAUAGAGUUUUGAUGUAGUGCCUUUGCUUGUUGGCAAACCAAAUAUUCUUUCAGCUAUUGCAAGCCAAACAUUCCUUCAACUAAUGAAGAUAUCUCUUUUCCAUUUCAUCCCUCCCACCAAAAGUUUUGUUUGAAAUCUUGAUAUAAUUUAGUGCUUCUGUGGUGGGCAGUAUAUAGCGUAUCAUGAGCUUUACUCGUGAUUUUAUUUCUCAACUGUUCAGUAUUGGGUACACAACUUUUCUCAAACAUGAUAGCAGUACCCCUAGCUUUUUGGCAAGUAUUGACCCCUUCUAUCAAAAUCCUUACCCAUAAUUUUUCUCCUUUUUAUUUUCCCCAUGUACUUUAACAAUUCUUCUUCUCAAAUCAAAAAUCAUUGUUAACAUUGCAAUUACAGCUUCUCUUGUUUGCUGUGGUAGAACCAUUUGUAAAUCCAACUUUCAAAUCCUUGAUGAGAAUUUUUCUUCAUGGGUAAGGAGAAAUCCUUAGUAAACUUGAGUUUUUCUACUCAAGGCAUCCACUACUAUAUUGGCUUUGCGUGGGUGAUAAUUUAUUCUACAAUCAUAGUCCCUUACUAAUUCGAGCUAUAUUCCUUGUCUCACACUUAAAUCUUUUGCUCGAAUAAGUAUUUUAAACUUUUAUGAGGUGUAUCAAUUCCACAUCUCGUUUCAGAAUACCAUUGUUGCUAGUUCCAAGUUAUGUUGAGCAAUUCAGUUCUUGUGGUCUAUGUUCUCAUGACCCAAUAACAAUAACUCUUUCACUUUGCAACAAUGCACAACCAAGUCCAUCUUUGAUACACAGGACCAAUUUUAUAUGGUCUUUCAACUUUGAGAAUUCGGCCAUAUUUUAAAAUAGCCUUUCAUCCAACAACAGAUGAGCAAUUUGAGAGAAAUCUUUAAACCUUAGAAGAUGUGACAUAGACUAUUGUACUAGAGCGAAGAAGUGGCGACCUUAGCAGUAGGGACACUGGCGAUCGUAAGAAAUUCUCUCUUUCCAAAAAUGAUUUUUCAGAAGGAGCGAAUUCCCCGCAAACAAGGCAGGAGACGACUAUCUCAAGGUGCAUCACGCGUACUCAGAAGCCGCAUUAUGCACUAGAUUGAAGGAUGAAUUGGGAAAACCUUUUGCUAGUAAUUGAAUUGGCCUACAAUUGUAGCUUUCGGGCAAUAAUUGAUAUGACACCAUAUGGAGCUUAUUGUGAAAAGAAAUAUUGAUCUCCACUCUAUUGACAUGAGGUAAGUGAAAGAAAAGUAACAGGACCUGAUGCGCUUGAAGAAAUGAUUACGCUUAUCCGACAAAUUCAACAACUGCUCAAGGAACCUGAAGAGCGACAUACACUUCAAAUUUCGAGGACGAAAUUUCUUUAAGGGGGAGAGGAUGUAACACCCAGCAUUUUCACUACAGUAUAUAUAUUAUUUUCUAUUAUCUAAAAGAAGAAAGAGAAGUAGAAUCACUGAGAUGAGAUGAGAUAUUAUUAUAAUACCUUGAGCUUUUAAUUCAAUGAUUGCAUAAUUUGAAUAAUUAAGUAUUCUUGCUUUCUUUAUUAUUUUCAUUCUUGGAAGCGAGUUUAUAAUUCCUAGUUAAAGGGAUUAUUUUAUUAUUUUUCAGAGAUGAGAUUGGUGAUAAAUACGAAAUAUUAUUAGUCGACUUAUUGCUCGGCUAAUUGAAGUGACGGAUGUUAUUUAAUUAUUUAUCUAUGAGCUUUUUUUUUUUUUAAUAGUGAUAGUUUGAGGAAAUUUAGUAUAUGUAUAUAGAAUUGUAUUAUAUUUCAUUGGGUGUAUAAUAAUUUAUUAAUUUAGAUAGCUAUCAAAUACUACUUGAGCUUGGAGCACAAGUUUCGUGAGUCAUAUUAGUGUAGAGAAUUGCUUUUCUAAUUUAUUCUUAUUUUUAUUUGAUCUAAUUUUGAGGGCCACAAAAUAAGGCUUAUAGGAAAAGCCAAGUUUUCCUCUUAUUAUUUAUUUCUUCUACAAACCUCAAAUGGGCCGAUCAGUAAGGGAAAUGAGGUUUGAAUUAUAUUGCUCAUUUCUAUAAUUGGAUUUAAAUUUUUAAUGUUUGAGAUAAGCAUUUAUUUAUUGUAAAGUGUAUAUAUUAGUUUGAGGAGAUUCAUUUCCUUUUCUUCUCCCCAAAACAGUCGACCUUCUCCCCUCUCUCUUUAUGGAACCUCAGUUUGAGUUUACUUUCAACCUUCAAGAAGAUUCAGCCGCCGCCUCUGCUCCGACCGUCGUCGGCUGCCGUCGGGUCCAAGUCCGGCGUCUCGUCUGUUCUUCCCUGGUGCCCCUCGCACUACUCUCAUCUUCUCUCAAUUUAGCGAAGAACCCAAAUGAGAAGCCCUAAUUUCAAAAUCCGAAAUCGCCGUCACCCGAGCCCGAAAUUCGGCAAUACAGCAGCCUCCUCUUCAACGUGGUCGAAGUUCUCGCACCGGAAGUCCUCGCCGUUCCCCCUUCUUUUUCGAUGUGGAGCCCUAAUUAUUAGAAGAAGGAAAUUACUACUGUCGCGACUGGAAGGCCAACGAACGGCUGAGCUUCGCCCAUCUCUGCCUUGAAUCCAUGCUCGAGAAUGAGAGAAAGGGAAACGAGCUCUAAUUCUUUUCUACUCCCGCCGUCAUGGUUCGGCUGCCACCUCCGCCGUCUGUGGAAGACCGGCGAUUCAGCGGCGCCGCUCCAUUCACGACGCCGCUACUGCUGCUACACGAUCCCCUCCGAGGCAGGAAGCGCUGCUGUCAUCAUCGUCGUCUUGGCUCGACUGAACAGGGUAGCGUCCCUCGUCGUCGAAAAGUUAAGUAUUCUACUUGUUAUUGUAGAAAGUGUUUGAUGUUGCUUGUGAUUUCUGAGUUCAUGCCAUAAUAAUCGAGGCAUAGGUGACUUCUCUCUAAGAUUCCUAAAGUGAGAUAUUAAACAAAAUGUUAUAUGUUUCUAAGUUAGUAAUUACUUUAAAUUAAGUAAAAUGAUGGCAGGAAUCAUAGCUUCAGCCCAAAGCUUCGAUUUUUGACCCUCCCUCAAGAACCCCAGAAUUUCAUCUUCUUUAUAUUUGUAUCAAUUGACUAUGUAUACAUGUCUAUAUGUAUGUGAAGAAUUGAUUGGGAUUUUAUUUGGGUAUUUAUUCACAAGAAAACAUGAUUCCCUAAUAGUUUAGUUUAAGUGGAUUUGGGAGUUCUUGGAAUAAGCUAGCUACAUGUUUGAUGCUUGUGUAAUUGUACUCCUUGAAUUGUAAAAUGAGAUUAUAUGACAAUAGUUGGAGGAUAUCAAGCAUGCUACUAUAUGUUGAUGUGUUGAACAUGAAUUACGUUUAAGCUAAAGCAUGCUAAUGUGUAGUAAGAUGAUGUAUUUGAGUUACUAUAGCUUUUAUUUGAUAAAAAUAUGAGUUAUAUGUUGAGUUGAGAUGAAGAAGGUAUUGCUGUUGGUUUUGCUGUACAGGACAGUACCUUGUAAGGUAUUUUCGGGAGUGUUCCUGUGUUCGAAAUGAUUUGAAAUUUUUACAGUAAUUACUUCAUUAUGAGUAUUAGAUCUCUGCAAAAUUUCAGCUAAAUCCGAGACCAAUAGACAUGUCAAACUAUUUUCUGAAAUGUACUGCACGGAGCAGCAGAGUUCAGUGCAGAUUCUGUCUUUGGUCAUAUAACUUCUUAUCCACUUGAGAUUUUGUGUUUUUGUAAAUUUCUGAGAAAUAUAGACAUCAAUAGCUUUCUAAAAAGGUAAAACUCGUAUUUUUCCUUGAAGCGAUUGAUUUUAUAUGAUUUUCCAAAGUUAGGAUUCAAAUGUGUAUGUGUCUUGAUUAAACUUGUGAUUGGUAGUUAAUUGAGAUCCUACACUACUAAACUUGAAUUAAGGUUUUAUUGUUCUAAUUACCUAUUGAGAAUUAUUGAUUACUAAGCUUGUUAAUAUGAUAGUUGAUGGACAUAAUUAUGUUUAUAUGAUUAAUUACUUUGGGAUUUUGUGUUUUACAUGUAUGGUUAGUUGUAAACUGAUCUCUAUGGAAUGGAUUUGUUUACUUCUAAACUUUCUCUAGUAGAGGAAUUCCUAUAAGAUAGGAAUACUAGUUUAUACUUUCUUAAAGUUCAUAAGAGUUAGUAUAUUGGUUAGUUUAGUUGAUUCAACCUUAGCUUUGCAAAAGAUUAAAAGUUUAUUGGGAUGUUAUUUAUAGCUAAUUCUUCUUAUCUAGUUAUCCAAUCUUAUUUUAGAAUCUUGCUAUUAUGAAGGUGACAGUAGCAAUGAUAGAUAAGUGAGCAAGAGUUCCUACACCGUUAAGCGUAUCAGGUUAAGCUGUGAUGCAGAUGGAGGCGAGCAGAGCAAAACUUUUGAAGUAUAAGUAUUAAAUUAGGCUCAGGAUUCCAUGUCUUCAUACAUGUAAUCCACUUAAGUAUUUCCGCUGCAACACUUAGUGUAUUUUACUUUAUUGAUGUGUUGUACAGAUUUUAAACCAAUAGCUUCGAAAAUUAUGUCACUUGAAAAUUUGACAACUUGUCGUUAUGUAUUGUGAGUUGUCUGCUUUGAGUUUUAGAAAAGAUUGUUUAUGAUUACCAAAUAUUUAGGUAAAUUAUUGUUUA